This 217-nucleotide long non-coding RNA is filed under the name Trifolium pratense (red clover). RNAcentral describes it as "long non-coding RNA (TPRA_LNC011318)". The record is from RNAcentral. Lineage: Eukaryota; Viridiplantae; Streptophyta; Magnoliopsida; Fabales; Fabaceae.
GUAAAAAAAUUCAAAACAAUAUCAGUAAAAUAAAGCUCAAUAAAUAAAGUGCAACGCAAAAAACGGCGUACAAAACGGACGCUCGUAGCCCUCACACUCUCCCGCACUCUCUCUAACCUGCGAGUGGGCUUUACACGCACGUGAACAGUGUCACCUUCAACCUCUGGCGGGUCGACCCACUACCAGAAACCGGGUCAAACCGCGGGUCGUGCUCCAG